GCCCCCAUCGUCUAACGGUCAGGACAUCUCUCUUUCAAGGAGGCGACGGGGAUUCAACUUCCCCU
This 65-nucleotide transfer RNA is filed under the name Raphionacme galpinii. Its description in RNAcentral is "tRNA-Glu". It matches the Rfam family "tRNA". Rfam says of the family: Transfer RNA (tRNA) molecules are approximately 80 nucleotides in length. The record is from RNAcentral. Lineage: Eukaryota; Viridiplantae; Streptophyta; Magnoliopsida; Gentianales; Apocynaceae.